This 1311-nucleotide long non-coding RNA is filed under the name Oncorhynchus mykiss (rainbow trout). Its description in RNAcentral is "lncRNA (ENSOMYG00000055769.1)". The record is from RNAcentral. Lineage: Eukaryota; Metazoa; Chordata; Actinopteri; Salmoniformes; Salmonidae.
AUGCAUCCAAGGAGCCUCUCUCUAGCCUGUCUGCAUGGCCGAUGGCUCUCUCUGCAUCCCUCCUUCUACCUCCCUGGCUGUGGCUGGCUGGCUAGCUGGCUGCACUCAGAGCUAGUGUCAGAGAGGAGGGGGGGGGGCGGCCCCAGCCACCAGUCUCCAUCCCUCCCUCCCUCCCUCCUCCCGGAGUGUCCUAAAGGAAAGGUAAUGAUGAUAUGUCUCUGCCUCUCAGUCUUUAUCCCCUAUCGAUCUCUACCCCACCACCCAUCCCUGCAGAGUGUAACCCAACCCUCCACCUCUCUUCUCUGCCUGCUUCUCCCGGGAUAUACUUCACUUAGCACACAGCCUCACAGAGAGGAAAAGAGAGAUGGAGAGAGACAGAGAAAGGGGAGUGGGAGAGAGACAGAGAGAGAGGGAGAGAGAGAGAGAGAGAGAGGGAGAGAGAGAGAGAGAGAGAGAGAGAGAGAGGGAGAGAGAGAGAGAGAGAGGGAGAGAGACAGAGAGAGAGAGAGGGAGAGAGACAGAGAGAGGGAGAGAGAGACAGGGGAGUGGGAGAGAGACAGAGAGAGAGACAGGGGAGUGGGAGAGAGACAGAGAGAGAGGGAGAGAGAGAAAGGGGAGUGGGAGAGAGACAGAGCAAGGGGAGUGGGAGAGAGACAGAGAGAGAGGGAGAGAGAGAGAGAAAGGGGAGUGGGAGAGAGACAGAGCAAGGGGAGUGGGAGAGAGAGACAGAGCAAGGGGAGUGGGAGAGAGACCGAGAGAGAGGGAGAGAGAGGGAGAGGAAAAGAGAGACGGAGAGAGAAAGGGGAGUGGGAGAGAGACAGAGAGAGAGGGAGCGAGAGGGAGAGGAAAAGAGAGACAGAGAGAGACAGAGAAAGGGGAGUGGGAGAGAGACAGAGAGAGAGGGAGAGAGAGAAAGGGGUGGAAGAGAGAGAGAGACAUGGGAGAGGGAGAGAGAAAGGGGAGUGGAAGAGAAAGAGAGAAAGGGGAGUGGAAGAGAGAGAAAGAGAGGGAGAGAGAAGGGGAGUGGGAGAGAGAGAGGAGAGUGGAAGAGAGACAGAGCGAGAGAGAGAGAGAGAGAGAGAGAGAGAGAGAGAGAGAGAGAGAGAGAGAGAGAGAGAGAAAGAGGAGAGCGAGAGAGAGAGGAGAGAGAGAAAGAGGAGUGGAAGACAGAGAGAGAGAGAGAAAGAGGAGAGCGAGAGAGAGAGGAGAGAGAGAAAGAGGAGUGGAAGACAGAGAGAGAGAGAGAAAGAGGAGUGGAAGACAGAGAGAGAGAGAGAGGAGUCCCAUGUCCACUACCACUAUUACUGUUGA